This 684-nucleotide ribosomal RNA is filed under the name uncultured bacterium. RNAcentral's name for it is "bacterial SSU rRNA". It matches the Rfam family "Bacterial small subunit ribosomal RNA", at positions 143 to 845 of the family's 1533-position model. The record is from RNAcentral.
AUAACGGCUGGAAACGGUCGCUAAUACCGCAUAACAUACAGGAGGGACAUCCCUUUUGUAUCAAAGAUUUAUCGCUCGAAGAUGGGCUCGCGUCCGAUUAGGUAGUUGGUGAGGUAACGGCCCACCAAGCCGACGAUCGGUAGCCGGACUGAGAGGUUGAACGGCCACAUUGGGACUGAGACACGGCCCAGACUCCUACGGGAGGCAGCAGUGGGGGAUAUUGCACAAUGGGGGAAACCCUGAUGCAGCGACGCCGCGUGUAGGAAGACGGUCCUCUGGAUUGUAAACUACUGUCCCCAGGGACGAAGAUGACGGUACCUGGGGAGGAAGCUCCGGCUAACUACGUGCCAGCAGCCGCGGUAAUACGUAGGGAGCGAGCGUUGUCCGGAAUUACUGGGUGUAAAGGGAGCGUAGGCGGGGAUGCAAGUUGGGUGUUAAAUCUACCGGCUCAACUGGUAGUCGCACUCAAAACUGCAGCUCUUGAGUGAAGUAGAGGCAGGCGGAAUUCCUAGUGUAGCGGUGAAAUGCGUAGAUAUUAGGAGGAACACCAGUGGCGAAGGCGGCCUGCUGGGCUUUUACUGACGCUGAGGCUCGAAAGUGUGGGGAGCAAACAGGAUUAGAUACCCUGGUAGUCCACACCGUAAACGAUGAUUACUAGGUGUGGGGGGUCUGACCCCCUCUGUG